UACGUAGGGGGCAAGCGUUGUCCGGAAUCAUUGGGCGUAAAGCGCGUGUAGGCGGUCCGAUUAGUCGGCUGUGAAAGUCAAGGGCUCAACCCUUGAAUGCCGGUCGAUACUGUCGGACUAGAGUCCGGAAGAGGCAAGUGGAAUUCCUGGUGUAGCGGUGAAAUGCGCAGAUAUCAGGAAGAACACCAAUGGCGAAAGCAGCUUUCUGGGACGGUACUGACGCUGAGACGCGAAAGCGUGGGGAGCGAACAGG
RNAcentral lists this ribosomal RNA (253 nucleotides) under uncultured bacterium. Its description in RNAcentral is "partial 16S ribosomal RNA". It matches the Rfam family "Bacterial small subunit ribosomal RNA", at positions 524 to 776 of the family's 1533-position model. The record is from RNAcentral.